Long non-coding RNA from Lathyrus oleraceus (garden pea), 782 nucleotides. RefSeq lists it as uncharacterized. NCBI's taxonomy places the organism in Eukaryota, Viridiplantae, Streptophyta, Magnoliopsida, Fabales, Fabaceae. The transcript is spliced from 2 exons. The record is from RefSeq and is a predicted model, not a curated record.
AGCCCAAUUACACACAUCAGGGAGGGGGAAGUGAGUAGCUUCAGAUCAAAUGUUCAAAUCAAAAUCAAAAACACGCGCUCAAGAAUACCUCUAUCUACCUUGCCUAAAGUAACCGCCCUCCACCGUGUCGGAGGUCGCCUCCGGCAGCGGCGAAGGGCCAAACCAAGAAAUUCAACCACCAAUAAACUUGUUUCGUACCCCUCCAUUCAAAUUCAUCAAUGAUUUCAGUCAACUCAUAACCCAAACUCCUAACUGAAUUGUAUUGUCUCAAGAACCCUAGUCAUGAAAAGCUAAAUUAAAUCAUCAUCUUAUGGAAUCAAAGCCCAAGGGGUUGGGGAUUUGAUUCCUCAACCUUCAAACUACAUGUCCAUGACUAAUUUGAAGCACGAAGGUGAAAGAAAAAGCUUACGCUGUCGGAGACUCCGAAGGUGACGACGAUGAGAUUUACAGGGUAUUCACACAUGAGAAUUGGAUAAGGCAUACAAAAUGGCUUGCAUUUGAAGAAACAUUGGAACAUGGCAAUCAUCAAAGAUCAAAAGUGGAAGAAAAGACGACUCAUACAAAUGGAUAGCUUGUGGGAGAAGCAAUGCAAGAAAUAGGGUUUAGAAUAAGUAGAAUUAGUCAGUUGACUUUGGUCAACUGGUUGACAAAAAAGUCAACAAUUGACCAGAAGUCAACUUAGGCAAAAAAUGUAUUUUUUUUUGUAUGAAAUGAUUUGUAAUGACUUUGAUGUAUUGUAAUGGAUUGUUAUUCUUUUGAAAUGGAAAUGGACUUUGAAUGAA